GGAAGUAAAAGUCGUAAACAAGGUUUCCGUAGGUGAACCUGCGGAAGGAUCAUUAUCGUACAAAAUGUGAGGGGCAUGCGAGGGCUGUCGCUGACCCAAAAGUCGUGCACGCCCGAGUGUGUCCUCUUGCAUAAUAAUCCAUCUCACCCUUUGUGCAUCACCGCGUGGGCACCCUUCGGGAUCAUCUCGGAGGGGGGCUCGCGUUUUCACACAAACCCCCCUUUUAAAAGUGUAGAAUGACCACAUUUAUGCAAUCAAUACAACUUUCAACAACGGAUCUCUUGGCUCUC
RNAcentral lists this unclassified non-coding RNA (290 nucleotides) under plant metagenome. Its description in RNAcentral is "partial contains small subunit ribosomal RNA, internal transcribed spacer 1, and 5.8S ribosomal RNA". The stretch from base 1 to 55 matches the Rfam family "Eukaryotic small subunit ribosomal RNA", at positions 1778 to 1831 of the family's 1831-position model. The record is from RNAcentral.